Molecule: ribosomal RNA, 253 nt
Filed under: uncultured bacterium
Lineage: Bacteria
Description: partial 16S ribosomal RNA
Rfam family: Bacterial small subunit ribosomal RNA
Source: RNAcentral
GACAGAGGGUGCAAACGUUGUUCGGAAUUACUGGGCGUAAAGCGCGUGUAGGCUGUUCGGCAAGUCGGAUGUGAAAGCCCUGGGCUCAACCCAGGAAGUGCAUUCGAAACUCCCGAACUGGAGUCCUGGAGAGGAAGGCGGAAUUCUCGGUGUAGAGGUGAAAUUCGUAGAUAUCGAGAGGAACAUCGGUGGCGAAGGCGGCCUUCUGGACAGUGACUGACGCUGAGACGCGAAAGCGUGGGGAGCAAACAGG